AGAGUUUGAUCAUGGCUCAGAUUGAACGCUGGCGGCAGGCCUAACACAUGCAAGUCGAGCGGAUGACGGGAGCUUGCUCCUUGAUUCAGCGGCGGACGGGUGAGUAAUGCCUAGGAAUCUGCCUGGUAGUGGGGGACAACGUUUCGAAAGGAACGCUAAUACCGCAUACGUCCUACGGGAGAAAGCAGGGGACCUUCGGGCCUUGCGCUAUCAGAUGAGCCUAGGUCGGAUUAGCUUGUUGGUGAGGUAAUGGCUCACCAAGGCGACGAUCCGUAACUGGUCUGAGAGGAUGAUCAGUCACACUGGAACUGAGACACGGUCCAGACUCCUACGGGAGGCAGCAGUGGGGAAUAUUGGACAAUGGGCGAAAGCCUGAUCCAGCCAUGCCGCGUGUGUGAAGAAGGUCUUCGGAUUGUAAAGCACUUUAAGUUGGGAGGAAGGGUUGUAGAUUAAUACUCUGCAAUUUUGACGUUACCGACAGAAUAAGCACCGGCUAACUCUGUGCCAGCAGCCGCGGUAAUACAGAGGGUGCAAGCGUUAAUCGGAAUUACUGGGCGUAAAGUGCGCGUAGGUGGUUUGUUAAGUUGGAUGUGAAAGCCCCGGGCUCAACCUGGGAACUGCAUCCAAAACUGGCAAGCUAGAGUACGGUAGAGGGUGGUGGAAUUUCCUGUGUAGCGGUGAAAUGCGUAGAUAUAGGAAGGAACACCAGUGGCGAAGGCGACCACCUGGACUGAUACUGACACUGAGGUGCGAAAGCGUGGGGAGCAAACAGGAUUAGAUACCCUGGUAGUCCACGCCGUAAACGAUGUCAAACUAGCCGUUGGAAUCCCUUGAGAUUUUAGUGGCGCAGCUAACCGCAUUAAGUGCCCGCCUGGA
This 876-nucleotide ribosomal RNA is filed under the name uncultured bacterium. RNAcentral's name for it is "bacterial SSU rRNA". It matches the Rfam family "Bacterial small subunit ribosomal RNA", at positions 9 to 873 of the family's 1533-position model. The record is from RNAcentral.